This 75-nucleotide transfer RNA is filed under the name Thermoleophilia bacterium. RNAcentral's name for it is "tRNA-Lys". It matches the Rfam family "tRNA". From Rfam's summary of the family: Transfer RNA (tRNA) molecules are approximately 80 nucleotides in length. Their secondary structure includes four short double-helical elements and three loops (D, anti-codon, and T loops). Further hydrogen bonds mediate the characteristic L-shaped molecular structure. tRNAs have two regions of fundamental functional importance: the anti-codon, which is responsible for specific mRNA codon recognition, and the 3' end, to which the tRNAs corresponding amino acid is attached (by aminoacyl-tRNA synthetases). tRNAs cope with the degeneracy of the genetic code in two manners: having more than one tRNA (with a specific anti-codon) for a particular amino acid; and 'wobble' base-pairing, i.e. permitting non-standard base-pairing at the 3rd anti-codon position. Lineage: Bacteria; Bacillati; Actinomycetota; Thermoleophilia. The record is from RNAcentral.
GGGCCGGUAGCUCAAACGGUAGAGCCCUCCGCUCUUAACGGAGGAGAUGAGGAUCGAAACCUCCCCGGCCCACCA